Molecule: long non-coding RNA, 636 nt
Organism: Heterocephalus glaber (naked mole-rat)
Lineage: Eukaryota; Metazoa; Chordata; Mammalia; Rodentia; Bathyergidae
Source: Ensembl
GCAUCUUCUUAAAAGUAAACUAGUUAUAAGUGACUGAACCAAAGAGAACAGAUUACAAAAGAAAAACAGGAUAGGAUGGAUCAUGAUAUCAAUGGGGUUCAUGUGUUGACAUCUUGUGCUGCUGAGAUUACCUGCUCCUCAGAAAAGUGAAAGAAUUAAAGCAAGGAUCUGCUACAUUCACAGUCUGUUUAGGGAAGAUAUAGAUUUUCUCUGCUUUGGAGUUCCAGAGGACAAAACUCAGAGACCAGAGAUAAAGGGGAUUGGUUUGCCAAUCACAGAAGCUGUAGAGCGCGUCUGUAAACAAUUAGGAGCUCAAGUCAAUACUGAAACAAAUAGCACACUACAAGAUUAAGAAACAGUAUGAAAGGCACUGCGGGAAUGAGUAACAGGAGAAUCCCAUACCGACCUCAGCCCAAGACAAGUAGUCAGACCCAGCUCUAUUUGCAGGAGAGCCUCAGUUCUUUGAGGUGAAGAAAAUUUCUGUAGUGGUACGCAUGAGAGAAAUUUCUUCCGGUGGAAAGAAUUGAUUAAAUAAAAAUUUAACAAGUGGCACCUAUUCCGUGCACCUCCUUGAUGCAGAGGAAAUGGGCAUCUAUAUACAGUUCUGUAGUCCCUCUAAUAUUCGGAGAAGUGGAG